This 485-nucleotide long non-coding RNA is filed under the name Macaca mulatta (Rhesus monkey). RNAcentral describes it as "lncRNA (ENSMMUG00000059821.1)". Lineage: Eukaryota; Metazoa; Chordata; Mammalia; Primates; Cercopithecidae. The record is from RNAcentral.
AGUGAAACCAUCCAAGAAAAUGAAACUGAUCUCUGUGGACUCCUAAAUCGAUCUCAGCACUCACCAGUGCAUCCACCGAGACUUACAUAGCAGCUUCACAGCAUUAACUGAGUCCGAAUACAACAGAUUCUGGCCCAGUGAUGGAAGAGCAAAGGAGAUUGAGGCUCAGAGCAGUCAAGCUUCUCAUUUAAAGUUACUGCAAAGAAAGUUCAUCUCAGAAAGAUGGCCAACUAUGAAUUUUCAAUGUAGAUAAUUAGGUGACUGUACAGCUAUUUUUGGAGGUGUAGAGGCACAAAUGUGUGUCUCCUUAUGGCCUGGAAGACUGACCAGGACAAAUGAUACAACAGGAUUUUAACCAGAAGCCUUCUCACAAAUUCCAACCAGCAACACACUUCAAUAAAGAAGGAAAGCUACAAAUGGGCAGUGCCUCAGCUCCUGAAAUUACAAGAUGGAGAAAAAUCACACUGCCCAUGUGAGAGUUUAAG